This is a long non-coding RNA of Vicia villosa (hairy vetch), 382 nucleotides long. RefSeq lists it as uncharacterized. The record is from RefSeq and is a predicted model, not a curated record. The transcript has 2 exons. Lineage: Eukaryota; Viridiplantae; Streptophyta; Magnoliopsida; Fabales; Fabaceae.
UAUUAAUGUACAUUGAAUAUAUCUCAAUUAAAUUGUAAAAAUUAAAAGAUAAAAACAUAUGGAUAAAAUUCUAAAAUUUCUUUAUGUUACAAUUUUGUUUAUGUCCCUACUCUUUCUUUCAGCGAAGGCUAUCUUUCCAUGUGAAACUACUGAGGAUUGUGCAAACGUGUUUGUUAGCAUGAAUAAGAUCGAAAUGCAAGUCCUAUGCAUUAAAAACAUAUGUCGUUUGGCUAUGCUGAUGUAAGGAAAAAUAUUUAAAAAAAUAUGAAUAAUAAAUAUAUGUUAUGGUAGAAUAUUUCAUAAGUUGCCAUUUAAGAGUAAUGCUUUCAACCUAGAAUUGUAUUUUUUAUAUAAUUUGAAAUUACGAAUUUGUUCUCUAAAA